GAGUGGGUUUUAUGCCUAUAAAAAGGCCCUGACAGGUCGUGAAGGAUGUAGCGAGUCCUGGGAGUGGUCGUGAGAGUUUGAGAGGGCUUUCUUUGGGGUUUUUAGAGCUUUUGUAAGGGGGUGAGCUUCUUAUUAAAAGAGUGAGGUUUAUGAGAGUUGAGAGUGUAUGAUCUCUUUUUAUUUUUAUUUUCUUUCAUAAUGAAGCCUUUGUAUGCCC
RNAcentral lists this long non-coding RNA (217 nucleotides) under Elaeis guineensis (African oil palm). RNAcentral describes it as "long non-coding RNA (EGUI_LNC030684)". Lineage: Eukaryota; Viridiplantae; Streptophyta; Magnoliopsida; Arecales; Arecaceae. The record is from RNAcentral.